UACGGAGGGUGCAAGCGUUAAUCGGAAUUACUGGGCGUAAAGGGUGCGUAGGUGGUUUGGUAAGAUAUCUGUGAAAUCCCCGGGCUUAACCUGGGCAGGUCAGAUAUAACUGCUGAACUCGAGUAUAGGAGAGGGUAGUGGAAUUUCCGGUGUAGCGGUGAAAUGCGUAGAGAUCGGAAGGAACACCAGUGGCGAAGGCGGCUACCUGGCCUGAUACUGACACUGAGGCACGAAAGCGUGGGGAGCAAACAGGAUUAGAUACCCUGGUAGUCCACGCUGUAAACGAUGUCAACUAGCUGUUGGCCAUAUGAAUGUGGUUAGUGGCGAAGCUAACGCGAUAAGUUGACCGCCUGGGGAGUACGGUCGCAAGAUUA
This 374-nucleotide ribosomal RNA is filed under the name uncultured bacterium. RNAcentral's name for it is "bacterial SSU rRNA". It matches the Rfam family "Bacterial small subunit ribosomal RNA", at positions 524 to 896 of the family's 1533-position model. The record is from RNAcentral.